RNAcentral lists this long non-coding RNA (388 nucleotides) under Lonchura striata (white-rumped munia). RNAcentral describes it as "domestica (Bengalese finch) lncRNA (ENSLSDG00000004174.1)". The record is from RNAcentral. Lineage: Eukaryota; Metazoa; Chordata; Aves; Passeriformes; Estrildidae.
GGCGCGGAGGGGGCGGGGCCAGUCGGGACCCCCCGAGCGCCGCCGCCAUGCCCGAGGCCAAGGCCGCUGCCAAAAAAGAGGCGAAAAAGGAGAAAAAAGAGAAAAAAGAAGAGAAAAAAGAGGAGAAAAAAGAGGAACAAAAUGAGGAGAAAAAAGACGAAAUUGGGCAAAAGGCGGCGGGGGAGGGGCCCGAGGAGCCCCCGAAAGAGCCCAAGGAUGAUUUGGGUGAGUUUUGGGGUUUUUUCCCCCCAAAUUUUUGGUGCCCUCCCCCCUCCCCCCUCCCCCUCCCCAAAAUUUGGGGUUCUCGCCCCCCCCUGACCCCCCCGCCCCCCCAGAGGAGCUGAACCCCCCCGGACCCCCCGACCCGGACGGGCUGUUCCUGAGCCAG